This 415-nucleotide ribosomal RNA is filed under the name uncultured bacterium. RNAcentral describes it as "bacterial SSU rRNA". It matches the Rfam family "Bacterial small subunit ribosomal RNA", at positions 29 to 489 of the family's 1533-position model. The record is from RNAcentral.
AACGAACGCUGGCGGCAUGCCUAACACAUGCAAGUCGAACGGGACCUUCGGGUCUAGCGGCGCACGGGUGCGUAACGCGUGGGAAUCUGCCCUCUGGUACGGAAUAACUCAGGGAAACUUGAGCUAAUACCGUAUAAUGACUUCGGUCCAAAGAUUUAUCGCCUGAGGAUGAGCCCGCGUAGGAUUAGCUUGUUGGUGAGGUAAAAGCUCACCAAGGCGACGAUCCUUAGCNGGUCUGAGAGGAUGAUCAGCCACACUGGGACUGAGACACGGCCCAGACUCCUACGGGAGGCAGCAGUGGGGAAUAUUGGACAAUGGGCGAAAGCCUGAUCCAGCAAUGCCGCGUGAGUGAUGAAGGCCUUAGGGUUGUAAAGCUCUUUUACCCGGGAUGAUAAUGACAGUACCGGGAGAAUAA